This is a long non-coding RNA of Lepus europaeus (European hare), 538 nucleotides long. RefSeq lists it as uncharacterized. The transcript has 3 exons. NCBI's taxonomy places the organism in Eukaryota, Metazoa, Chordata, Mammalia, Lagomorpha, Leporidae. The record is from RefSeq and is a predicted model, not a curated record.
GCAGCAGUGAAAACACCCACGUCUCAUAUCAGAGUGCCUGGGUUUGCAUCCUGGCUCCACUCCCAAUUCCAGUUUCCUUCUGAUGUACUCCAAGGGAAGCAGCAGAACCAGAGUUGUGGCAUAGUGGGUAAAGCUGCUGCCUUCCGUGCCAGCAUUCCAUAUGGAUACCAGUUCAAGACCUGGCUGCUACACUUCCAAUCCAGCUCCUUGCUGAUGUACUUGAGAAAGCAGCAGAGGAUGGCCCAAGUGCUUGGGCCCCUGCACCCAUGUGAGAGACCUGGAUAAAGCUUCUAGCUCCUGGCUUCGACCUGACCCAGCCCUGGCCAUUACAACCAUUUGGAAAACUGUUCUGAAGUUUUCAAAACCAGUCAUCACCUGCUGCCUCCCCGGGUGUGCUGUUAAAUGACUGUGGAAACGUGAUCCACAGCUCCAUAACUUCAGUUGAGUGCUGUAUUUGCCUGACAGUAUUGUUUUCCUGUUUGACUAUGUGCAGAGCCAAAUCUACAGCUUAUUUUUUUAUUUUAUUUUUAUUUUUAUU